RNAcentral lists this ribosomal RNA (709 nucleotides) under uncultured bacterium. RNAcentral's name for it is "bacterial SSU rRNA". It matches the Rfam family "Bacterial small subunit ribosomal RNA", at positions 94 to 822 of the family's 1533-position model. The record is from RNAcentral.
AGCGGCGGACGGGUGAGUAACGCGUGGGUAACCUGCCUCAUACACAUGGAUAACAUACCGAAAGGUAUGCUAAUACAAGAUGAUAUAAGAGAUUCGCAUGGAUUUCUUAUCAAAGCUUCGGCGGUAUGAGAUGGACCCGCGUCUGAUUAGCUAGUUGGUAAGGUGACGGCUUACCAAGGCGACGAUCAGUAGCCGACCUGAGAGGGUGAUCGGCCACAUUGGAACUGAGACACGGUCCAAACUCCUACGGGAGGCAGCAGUGGGGAAUAUUGCACAAUGGGCGAAAGCCUGAUGCAGCAACGCCGCGUGAGCGAUGAAGGCCUUCGGGUCGUAAAGCUCUGUCCUCAAGGAAGAUAAUGACGGUACUUGAGGAGGAAGCCCCGGCUAACUACGUGCCAGCAGCAGCGGUAAUACGUAGGGGGCUAGCGUUAUCCGGAUUUACUGGGCGUAAAGGGUGCGUAGGUGGUUUCUUAAGUCAGGAGUGAAAGGCUACGGCUCAACCGUAGUAAGCUCUUGAAACAGGGAAACUUGAGUGCAGGAGAGGAAAGUGGAAUUCCUAGUGUAGCGGUGAAGUGCGUAGAUAUCAGGAGGAACACCAGUAGCGAAGGCGGCUUUCUGGACUGUAACUGACACUGAGGCACGAAAGCGUGGGGAGCAAACAGGAUUAGAUACCCUGGUAGUCCACGCCGUAAACGAUGAGUACUAGUGU